UACGGGGGGAGCUAACGUUGUUCGGAUUUACUGGGCGUAAAGGGCGCGUAGGCGGCUUAGCAAGUCAGGGGUGAAAUGUCUCGGCUCAACCGAGGACCUGCCUUUGAAACUGCUGAGCUUGAGGCCGUGAGAGGAGACUGGAAUUCCUAGUGUAGCGGUGAAAUGCAUAGAUAUUAGGAAGAACACCAGUGGCGAAGGCGAGUCUCUGGCACGGUUCUGACGCUGAGGCGCGAAAGCCAGGGGAGCGAAC
Molecule: ribosomal RNA, 250 nt
Filed under: uncultured bacterium
Lineage: Bacteria
Description: partial 16S ribosomal RNA
Rfam family: Bacterial small subunit ribosomal RNA
Source: RNAcentral